GUUAAUAAGCGUAAUUUAUAUUUUUCUAGUCGAAAAGUAAAUAAUUUGUUAGAAAUUUGCCGACGGCGCUCACUAAGUUGCGCGCCCUUCUGCCGUGCUUCGAAUCCAAAUCACAAUGAUAUCGAUACCUGUCCCAAUCUCCUCUCCCAGCUCCAGGUUCCGGGUAUCAUCGAUUCUUUGUUAGUGUAUGAUAUUGCUCGUUUCGUCUUUCGUUUGGGUGUUCGAGAGGGUUCCUUUGGCUGUACAUUUUGAUGGAUAAGGAGGAGAAUGCUACUAGUGAUGGUGAUCAUGAGGAGGCUUCUCAGUAUGAACUAGCUGUGUGUCCCGAAGAAGACAUGGAAGAAGAUGUCGAGGAUGAGGAAGAGGAUGACGAAGAUGAGGAGGUGGAGGAGGACAAUGAGGAUGAGGAAGAGAAUGUCUUGAGUUUUAUAGAUGGGAUUAAUCCUUUGGAUCUUGUGGAAGAUGAUGGUGGUGACCAACUUUAUCAGCGACUUCUGGGGGCGGAUUAUGAGGCUUUAGCUGAGAGAAAGAGAAAAGCACUUGUGGACAGCCGGCCCGAAGGUUCGGUUAAGAAGGCCAGGCGGGAGGAUCUUACUGGAGCAAGCAUGGAGGAAAUAAUGGAGGCCAUGAAUUAUGGUAUGCAAAGGAGAUCAAGGAAGUCUAAGAAAAGGGGUAGGCGAAAAGGAUCAACGAAGAAGCUAACCCCCGAGAUUAAUAGAAUGCUUGGUGAAGCUAAUCUUCACUAUGCAUUUGGCCGUUUUGAAGAGGCCAUACCAAUCUUGACAGAAGUUGUAAAGAAAGCACCAGAUUUGCCUGACUCGUAUCAUACACUUGGAAUUAUCCAUGACAAUCUUGGUAAUGAGUUGGAUGCCUUGAAUUGCUACAGAAUUGCUGCAUUUUUAGCACCAAGAGAUCCAGCUCUUUGGGAACUGCUUUUUGACCGGUUCAAUAAACGAGGCAACAGUCAUGAUGCGAUUUAUUGCCUUUCAAGAGCAAUAUCAGCAGAUCCUAAAAAUGUUAGUCUGAAAUUUGAUCGUGCUUCACUUUAUGUUAAGCUUGGAGAUUAUCAGAAAGCGGCAGCAUCUUAUGAACAGAUAGUACAAGCCUAUCCUGAUAAUGUUGAAGCACUCAAGACGGGAGCAAUGACGUAUGAAAGAUGUGGUCAGCAAGAGCGUUCUAUACAGAUUCUAGAGGACUAUCUCAGAAAUCAUCCAACUGAAGCUGAUCUUAGUGUCAUUGAUCUGCUGGCUUCCAUACUUAUGGAAAAUAACUCACAUAAGGAAGCCCUUCAGCAUAUUGAGCAUGCACAACUGGUAUUCUGUUCAGAAAAAGAGAUGCCUCUGGCAAUGACAACUAAAGCAGGAAUAUGCCAUGCUUACCUCGGAAAUAUGGAGAAGGCAGAAAGUAUUUUUAGUGCUCUUGAUGAGAAGAGUGCAGAUAAUGCUGACUUGAUUGCUAAAGUUGCAGAGUCAUAUAUGAGUCUUGGGCAUCAUAGUUCUGCGUUGAAGUAUUAUUUGAUGUUGAAAGGAAAUGUCGAAUUUAAUAAUGGCUUUAUAAUUAUGAAAAUCGCUCAAUGUCAUUUGUCAUUGAAUGACAGAGUACAGGCAAUUUUGUGCUUCUACGAAGCUUUAAAGACAUUUGAAGAUGAUAUUGAGGCUCGAUUAACACUGGCUUCUAUUCUUGUUGAAGAAGCCAGAGAAGAUGAAGCCAUUUUGUUGCUAUCUCCUCCGAAAAUUCUACAUCGUAUGGACCCCCAAACGGAUAAAUCAGAACCAUGGUGGUGCAAUGGGAAGGUGAAACUGAAGCUUUGCGACAUCUACCGAGCUAAGGGGAUGACCAAGGAAUUUGUAGAUACAAUCUAUCAUCUGGUACACGAGUCACUGAGCAUUGAAUCACUUCAGCAAAAGGUGAAAGUGAAAAGGAGGCUCACAAAAACUGUCCUGUUAGAAAGAGUCAAAGUCCUGGAGGAUCACCAAAAAGAGAACCUAUUGUGCAGAUCUAGACCAGUAGCUCCUGCUUCAGAUCUGCUUAAAGCUGCAAGAGCGAAGAAGUUGCUUCAGAAGAAGGCAAAAGUAAAGGAAGAUAAGAGAGCUGAGGCCAUGGCUUCUGGAGUUGACUGGCAAAGUGAUGAUUCAGAUGAUGAUCCUCCGGAAGAAAUACAUAAAGAACCUCCCCUGCCAGAUCUUCUCAAGGAUAAAGAGUAUAACGACCUCAUAAUAGAUUUGUGUAAGUCACUGGCCUCCUUGCAAAGAUAUUGCGAAGCAUUGGAGAUAAUAAAUCUUUUCUUGAAGGCGACUCGCAACAUGUCUUCUGUUGCGGAAGAACUCAGGUCUCUUGGAGCUCAAAUUGCAUACAACACACCUGAUCCUGAGCAUGGGGUUAACUGUGUAAAAUACAUUGCAGACCAGCAUCCAUAUAGCAAUGCUGCCUGGAAUUGCUAUUACAAAGUAAUUACCAGAUUAGAUGACUGGUAUGCGAGGCAUUACAAGUUUCUACGCAAUAAGAGAGACAAACUCAAAGACUGUGCACCUCCCAGUCUCAUUUCUGGGCAUCAUUUUACUAAAAAAAGCCGUCAUCAAGAUGCCGUGAGAGAAUACCUAGAAGCUUAUAAAUUAUUGCCAGAGAAUCCCCUUAUUAAUCUCUGUGUUGGUACUGCCUUAGUCAACUUAGCCCUUGGACAUAGACUUCAGAAUAGGCACCAGUGUGUUGCACAAGGCUUAGCAUUCCUCCACAACAACUUGCAGCUUUGUGAAUUCAGCCAGGAGGCAUUUUACAACAUAGCCAGGGCGUACCAUCAAGUCGGCCUUGUGACUCUGGCAGCUUGGCAUUAUGACAAAGUUCUUGCAAUGCAAGUGAAGGAUUACCCCAUGCCAAAGCUUCCCCAUGAAAAGCCAGAGUCUGCUGAAAAUAAAAAAUCGGGUUACUGUGACCUUCGCAGAGAAGCAGCUUUUAAUUUGCAUCUCAUCUACAAAAAAAGUGGAGCGGUUGAUCUUGCUCGAACCAUCUUAAGAGAUCACUGCACUUUCUGAGAAUUAUGUUCCUGAUCUCAGGUAUUGCGACUGUUUGAAUGAGAGGGUGGCUUCCUACUCCCUAGUUGAUCUCUUCAGUUCUCUCGAAAAGGCCUAUUAACGGUUUUCCGUGGUCUAAUCUGCUGAGAAAUGGGAGGGAAACACUAAAAGAAAGAAGGAAAGUGCAGGUUGAUAUUCCUAUACUACCCUUGUUGGUCCCGAGGAUUGAGCUCGUGAGUGACAUGUGUCCUUCGCAUUGAUACUUAAGAAGGAAAGUGCAGGUUAAUAUUCCUAUACUACCCUUGUUGGUCCCGAGGGAUGGAGGAGGUUAGGUUAGCCUAAAGAUGGUUAUUGGUUCAACUGUUCAAGGACGCGGGUUGCCCCUGAAUUCUCAGAGUAAGAAGAGGUAGAGAAAAUGUCUUGAGCCAAUGUUCGAGUACCUGGCGCCACAGCCAAAAAUACAAAGUACCGUAAUCAUUCUUUGGCCUAUUUGUUUUCUUUUUCCGCUAGGUCAGAUGCCACUAUUACUCGUGGUGAAAAACUACAUUUGUGUAAAUUGUCAUACAACGCCCCCCACAUUUAUGUAAUUUGAUGAUCUUUUUCGCUUUGA
This is an RNA transcript of Pyrus x bretschneideri (Chinese white pear), 3618 nucleotides long. It is a transcript of the gene named general transcription factor 3C polypeptide 3-like, with no coding region annotated. The record is from RefSeq and is a predicted model, not a curated record. Lineage: Eukaryota; Viridiplantae; Streptophyta; Magnoliopsida; Rosales; Rosaceae. The transcript is spliced from 4 exons.